Molecule: transfer RNA, 71 nt
Filed under: Loxodonta africana (African savanna elephant)
Lineage: Eukaryota; Metazoa; Chordata; Mammalia; Proboscidea; Elephantidae
Rfam family: tRNA
About the family: Transfer RNA (tRNA) molecules are approximately 80 nucleotides in length. Their secondary structure includes four short double-helical elements and three loops (D, anti-codon, and T loops).
Source: Rfam by way of RNAcentral
GCAGUGGUGCUUCGGUGGUAGAAUUCUCGCCUCCCGGGCAGGAGACCCAGGUUCGAUUCCUGGCCAGUGCA